RNAcentral lists this transfer RNA (76 nucleotides) under Bacillota bacterium. Its description in RNAcentral is "Firmicutes bacterium (anaerobic digester metagenome) tRNA-Phe". It matches the Rfam family "tRNA". Rfam says of the family: Transfer RNA (tRNA) molecules are approximately 80 nucleotides in length. Their secondary structure includes four short double-helical elements and three loops (D, anti-codon, and T loops). Further hydrogen bonds mediate the characteristic L-shaped molecular structure. tRNAs have two regions of fundamental functional importance: the anti-codon, which is responsible for specific mRNA codon recognition, and the 3' end, to which the tRNAs corresponding amino acid is attached (by aminoacyl-tRNA synthetases). tRNAs cope with the degeneracy of the genetic code in two manners: having more than one tRNA (with a specific anti-codon) for a particular amino acid; and 'wobble' base-pairing, i.e. permitting non-standard base-pairing at the 3rd anti-codon position. Lineage: Bacteria; Bacillati; Bacillota. The record is from RNAcentral.
GCCGAGGUAGCUCAGUUGGUAGAGCAGGGGACUGAAAAUCCCCGUGUCGGCAGUUCGAUUCUGCCCCUCGGCACCA